Molecule: ribosomal RNA, 981 nt
Filed under: uncultured Singulisphaera sp.
Lineage: Bacteria; Pseudomonadati; Planctomycetota; Planctomycetia; Isosphaerales; Isosphaeraceae
Description: bacterial SSU rRNA
Rfam family: Bacterial small subunit ribosomal RNA
Source: RNAcentral
AAUGAACGUUGGCGGCGUGGAUUAGGCAUGCAAGUCGGUCGCUCCGCAAGGGGCGAGGCGCAAGGGUGAGUAAUGCGACGGCAACCAACCCCAGGGAUGAGCAUAGCCCGCCGAAAGGCGGGGUAAUUCCCAGCGAAGUCGCGGCGGGGACAUCCCCGCUCGAUCAAAGGGUGUGAUUCCGCCCUGGGACGGGCCGUCGUGGCAUCAGGUAGUUGGUGGGGUAAUGGCCCACCAAGCCGAAGACGCCUACCGGGCGUGCGAGCGUGGCCCGGCACACUGGGACUGAGACACUGCCCAGACGCCUACGGGUGGCUGCAGUCGAGAAUCUUCGGCAAUGGGCGCAAGCCUGACCGAGCGACGCCGCGUGGAGGACGAAGGCCUUCGGGUUGUAAACUCCUGUCGAGGUGAAGCAACGGCCCGUGAAGAGCGGGACUUGAGCGACGCCUGGAGGAAGCACGGGCUAAGUUCGUGCCAGCAGCCGCGGUAAGACGAACCGUGCGAACGUUAUUCGGAUUCACUGGGCUUAAAGCGCGUGUAGGCGGGCCGAUACGUCCGUGGCUGAAAGCCCCCGGCUCAACCGGGGAAGUGGCCCAGAUACGGUUGGCCUGGAGGGGCAUAGGGGGAGCUGGAACUUCCGGUGGAGCGGUGAGAUGCGUUGAGAUCGGAAGGAACGCCCGUGGCGAAAGCGAGCUCCUGGAUGCCUUCUGACGCUGAGACGCGAAAGCCAGGGGAGCGAACGGGAUUAGAUACCCCGGUAGUCCUGGCCGUAAACGAUGAGCACUGGGUAGGAGGCUCGCCGAUGGGCGUCCUGCCGCAGCGAAAGCGUGAAGUGCUCCGCCUGGGGAGUAUGGCCGCAAGGCUGAAACUCAAAGGAAUUGACGGGGGCUCACACAAGCGGUGGAGCAUGUGGCUUAAUUCGAGGCUACGCGAAGAACCUUAUCCCAGGCUUGACAUGCGCGGAUUAGCCGGCGGAAACGUCGG